CGGAUUAACUCCCGAACUGACACUGUUUAGUCAAUCAGAGAAGAAGAUGAAGAAGAAAGGACACACCGCGCUUUGGAAAGCAGAGCUAAAUGGUAAACAAACAUGGCAGCACACCGGUAAGCCGACGGAGAGGCGACAGCAAGUCUCCACGCCGUAAACCGAUCUGCCUCGGAGAGAGCGCGAGGCAGAGCGGGAGAGGAUUCCUGAUAUGGAUCUACCUCAGAAAACUCAGCCAAACAAAGCCUCACCUGUUUUCACCGCCCUGCCUUGUUCCUCCUCCACCACCUCCUCCACCUCCUCCUCCUCCUCCUCCACCACCGCCGCUGCUGCUGCACCACCACACUCUGAAUCCACUUUGUCAGUUUGUGCAUUUUCUCUCUGGUUUUGUUUCCGUCGGGGAUUGUGGAAGCUUUGAUACACAGAAAUACCUGUUAGUAGUUGUCGAUCCUUUUUUUUCCCUCCCAAAUACCUCCACCCUCCCCUUCGCCUCCACCGGAACAGAAAAUUACCCCAUUUACCCUCUUCCAUUUUGGGUGUCCCAAAUCGGGGCCCCCGGGGCAGAUCCCAGACAUAAAAGUUAGCAUUGAGGAGCCGAGUGUCCGAUAUCAGUUAAUGUGAGAUACAACUAAUUAGUCCAUUAUCGGGCCCCUGCUCUCACCGGCUCAUAAAUUGGAGCCACUCAAAGGUCGUUUAUUAUUUAUCAGAGUGGGUGAGGGAGGGGGCAGGAGAGGGGGUAGGAGGAGGAGGAGGAGGAGGAGGGGGUUGAUGCUGGUGCUUCGGUUUGCUUGUUCAACAUAUCAAGAUUAGUUUCAACUAGCCCUGUUGGAUGGCUGCAGCCUGCAAACACCACACACAUGCACGCACAUUUUAUCACACACACACACACACACACACACACACAAACACGCUUCUUGUGGCUGCCCGGCUGCAGGAGGCCGACACAGAUUUGAUUCAGAGCAAACUUUGUGUUCAGUUUGUGUCACA
Molecule: long non-coding RNA, 984 nt
Organism: Epinephelus fuscoguttatus (brown-marbled grouper)
Lineage: Eukaryota; Metazoa; Chordata; Actinopteri; Perciformes; Serranidae
Exons: 3
Source: RefSeq, a predicted model, not a curated record